GUGGCGAACGGGUGAGUAAUGUAUCGGAACGUACCAUUCAGUGGGGGAUAACGUAGCGAAAGUUACGCUAAUACCGCAUAUUCUGUGAGCAGGAAAGCAGGGGAUCGCAAGACCUUGCGCUGAUUGAGCGGCCGAUAUCAGAUUAGCUAGUUGGUGAGGUAAAGGCUCACCAAGGCGACGAUCUGUAGCGGGUCUGAGAGGAUGAUCCGCCACACUGGAACUGAGACACGGUCCAGACUCCUACGGGAGGCAGCAGUGGGGAAUUUUGGACAAUGGGGGCAACCCUGAUCCAGCCAUGCCGCGUGAGUGAAGAAGGCCUUCGGGUUGUAAAGCUCUUUCGGCCGGGAAAAAAUCGCAUGGGUUAAUACCCUGUGUGGAUGAUGGUACCGGAAUAAGAAGCACCGGCUAACUACGUGCCAGCAGCCGCGGUAAUACGUAGGGUGCGAGCGUUAAUCGGAAUUACUGGGCGUAAAGCGUGCGCAGGCGGUUUGAUAAGACAGGCGUGCAAUCCCCGGGCUCAACCUGGGAACUGCGUUUGUGACUGUCUCACUAGAGUACGGCAGAGGGGGGUGGAAUUCCACGUGUAGCAGUGAAAUGCGUAGAGAUGUGGAGGAACACCAAUGGCGAAGGCAGCCCCCUGGGUCGAUACUGACGCUCAUGCACGAAAGCGUGGGUAGCAAACAGGAUUAGAUACCCUGGUAGUCCACGCCCUAAACGAUGUCAACUAGGUGUUGGGUGGGUAAAACCAUUUAGUACCGUAGCUAACGCGAGAAGUUGACCGCCUGGGGAGUACGGCCGCAAGGUUAAAACUCAAAGGAAUUGACGGGGACCCGCACAAGCGGUGGAUGAUGUGGAUUAAUUCGAUGCAACGCGAAAAACCUUACCUACCCUUGACAUGUCCAGGAGUCCGAAGAGAUUUGGAUGUGCUCGAAAGAGAACUGGAACACAGGUGCUGCAUGGCUGUCGUCAGCUCGUGUCGUGAGAUGUUGGGUUAAGUCCCGCAACGAGCGCAACCCUUGUCGUUAAUUGCCAUCAUUUAGUUGGGCACUUUAACGAGACUGCCGGUGACAAACCGGAGGAAGGUGGGGAUGACGUCAAGUCCUCAUGGCCCUUAUGGGUAGGGCUUCACACGUCAUACAAUGGUCGGUACAAAGGGUUGCCAACCCGCGAGGGGGAGCUAAUCCCAUAAAGCCGAUCGUAGUCCGGAUCGUAGGCUGCAACUCGCCUGCGUGAAGUCGGAAUCGCUAGUAAUCGUGGAUCAGCAUGUCACGGUGAAUACGUUCCCGGGUCUUGUACACACCGCCCGUCACACCAUGGGAGCGGGUUCCGCCAGAAGUAGGUAGCCUAACCGCAAGGAGGGCGCUUACCACGGCGGGGUUCGUGACUGGGGUGAAGUCGUAACAAGGUA
Molecule: ribosomal RNA, 1408 nt
Filed under: metagenome
Description: bacterial SSU rRNA
Rfam family: Bacterial small subunit ribosomal RNA
Source: RNAcentral